This is a long non-coding RNA of Orcinus orca (killer whale), 898 nucleotides long. RefSeq lists it as uncharacterized. Lineage: Eukaryota; Metazoa; Chordata; Mammalia; Artiodactyla; Delphinidae. The record is from RefSeq and is a predicted model, not a curated record. The transcript is spliced from 3 exons.
GUUGGAAUCCACCCAGGUUGCCUAUUACUAAGUAACAUGUCUUGCUGAAGAGCCACAGAAAACUAUACACUCCCUUGAAGGGCAGCACAGUAUCACUUCAAGUUACCAUCAGAGAGAUGACCUUCUUCACCCCCAUCUCAGAACAGCAAGCAUUUUCCAGAACAGGAGAUGCAUCUGCAGUUAGUGGGCAUGGAAUGGAAAAUGCCAGCUGGCCCAUUCAGGAACUGAAAUUGAAGAGAGAACUGGUUAACAGACAUUUUAGAGCUUCCCCGGUGGCGCAGUGGUUAAGAAUCCACCUCCAAUGCAGGGGAUACAGGUUCGAGCCCUGGUCCCGGAAGAUCCCACAUGCUGCGGAGCAACUAAGCCCCUGUGCCACAACUACUGAGCCUGCGCUCUAGAGUCCAUGAGCCACACCUACUGAAGCCUGCGCGCCUAGAGCCCGUGCUCUGCAACAAGAGAAGCCACCGCAAUGAGAAGCCUGAGCACUGCAACAAAGAGUAGCCCCCGCUCACCGCUACUAGAGAAAGUCCGCGCACAGCAACAAAGGCCCAAUGCAGCCAAAAAUAAAUAAAUAAAAAUUAAGGGGAAAAAAAAGAGUUAUUUUAGUUACUUUCAAGUUUGUUAUAAAUAACACUGUGAAGAACACUCUAAGAGGUAAAUCUUUGCAUAUAUCCCUAUGUAUUUAGUAUUGCUGGGUUAAAAGAUAUAGACUAUGUUUAGGCUCCAGAAAGGUUUAUAAUAAUUGCACCCCUAACCACACCUAAGAUAAUACUAUCUUUCUUUUUAAUCUUUCCCAUUUGAUUAUUCACUGACCAUUAACAUGCCUUCAAUGAAACCAAAGUAACAGAUGUAUAGGUAGAUAUUCAAUGCUUUCUCCAAAAUAAGACCAAUAAAAUGU